CAGUACCGUGAGGGAAAGGUGAAAAGUACCCCGGAAGGGGAGUGAAAGAGAACCUGAAACCGUGUGCUUACAAGAAGUUCGAGCCCGUUAAUGGGUGAGAGCGUGCCUUUUGUAGAAUGAACCGGCGAGUUACGUUUACGUGCGAGGUUAAGUUGAAGAGACGGAGCCGUAGGGAAACCGAGUCUGAAAAGGGCGGUUAAGUACGUAGAUGUAGACCCGAAACCAAGUGACCUACCCAUGAGCAGGUUGAAGGUGCGGUAAAACGCACUGGAGGACCGAACCGGGACACGUUGAAAAGUGUUUGGAUGACUUGUGGGUAGCGGAGAAAUUCCAAACGAACUUGGAGAUAGCUGGUUCUCUCCGAAAUAGCUUUAGGGCUAGCGUCGGUCGCGAGACUCUUGGAGGUAGAGCACUGUUUGAUUGAGGGGUCCAUCCCGGAUUACCAAUCUCAGAUAAACUCCGAAUGCCAACGAGUUAAGACCGGCAGUCAGACUGCGAGUGCUAAGAUCCGUAGUCGAAAGGGAAACAGCCCAGACCACCAGCUAAGGUCCCCAAAUAAUUGUUAAGUGGAAAAGGAUGUGGGGUUGCACAGACAACUAGGAUGUUAGCUUAGAAGCAGCUAUUCAUUCAAAGAGUGCGUAAUAGCUCACUAGUCGAGUGACCCUGCGCCGAAAAUGUACCGGGGCUGAAACAAUUUACCGAAGCUGUGGAUCUCUUAGGGGAUGGUAGGAGAGCGUUCUAUGUGCGCAGAAGGUGUACCGCAAGGAGCGCUGGAGUGCAUAGAAGUGAGAAUGCCGGUAUGAGUAGCGUAAGACAGGUGAGAAUCCUGUCCACCGUAAGACUAAGGAUUCCAGGGGAAGGCUCGUCCGCCCUGGGUUAGUCGGGACCUAAGGAGAGACCGAUAGGUGUAUCCGAUGGGCAACAGGUUGAUAUUCCUGUACUAGAGUAUUGAGUGAAGGAGGGACGCAGCAGGCUAACUAGAGCGUGCGAUUGGAAGAGCACGUCCAAGCAGUGAGGUGAGGACUGAGUCAAAUGCUUAGUUCUGCGCCACCAAGCUGUGACGGGGAGCGAAGUUUAGUAGCGAAGCUAGUGAUGUCACCCUGCCAAGAAAAGCUUCUAGCGUUAAUGAAUACUCUACCCGUACCGCAAACCGACACAGGUAGUCGAGGCGAGUAGCCUCAGGUGAGCGAGCGAACUCUCGUUAAGGAACUCGGCAAAAUGGCCCCGUAACUUCGGGAGAAGGGGCGCUGGCGAUAAGUCAGCCGCAGUGAAAAGGCCCAAGCAACUGUUUAUCAAAAACACAGCUCUCUGCGAAAUCGUAAGAUGAAGUAUAGGGGGUGACGCCUGCCCGGUGCUGGAAGGUUAAGAGGAGCGCUUAGACGUUUGUCGAAGGUGUGAAUUGAAGCCCCAGUAAACGGCGGCCGUAACU
This 1429-nucleotide ribosomal RNA is filed under the name Escherichia coli. RNAcentral describes it as "bacterial LSU rRNA". It matches the Rfam family "Bacterial large subunit ribosomal RNA", at positions 496 to 1941 of the family's 2925-position model. Lineage: Bacteria; Pseudomonadati; Pseudomonadota; Gammaproteobacteria; Enterobacterales; Enterobacteriaceae. The record is from RNAcentral.